Notechis scutatus (mainland tiger snake) is the source of this 2056-nucleotide non-coding RNA. Lineage: Eukaryota; Metazoa; Chordata; Lepidosauria; Squamata; Elapidae. The record is from RefSeq and is a predicted model, not a curated record.
GGAAUUGAUAACUCUUCUUUCCUCUCUAUAGAACACAGGUAAAUAAGCUUCCUGGGCAGGUAGAGAUGCUUCUGUGACCCGGUUUUCUUUCGCUUUCCCCACCCACCAAGGGAGAAGCGGAAGGGAGUCUUGCCGGCCGCGGCCUGUUUCAGCCAACCGACGGAACCCUCCACAGGCAGCAGGAUCUCCCUGCCUAUCAUGACGACGUCGGCCGGCAUGCACAGCCUUCUCCUCAAAACAGCCCAUGGCCUCGUGGAAGGGCAAAGUGACUUUUUGAGACCGAUUGCCAACAGCAAAAUGGCAGAGUGGGGGCAGCCAGAUGAGAAGCAGGGUCUGUUUUAAGGCUCUUGAGUUUGCAGAACUAGGACAGGUGAGAAGAGCCAGGAGGAAAAAAGACCUAACUCCUUCCGUAGCAGAGAAGUUAGCCCUGUUACUGAGAAAUGAAGGAGAAAUUUUGGCUCUCAGGUCCACACACACGCACGCGUGUACUGUAGGAGCAGACAAGAGUUGAAACCGGUUUAUUUGCCUUUCUUCUGAUUCAGCCCUUCAGUUAGCAGAGUUUGAACAAGACAGAGGGAUGGCCACUGUUUGUAUUGGCCCAGACUUAAGGGGAGAAUCAGUAUUGUAAAGGCCUUAGAGCAUCGAAGGAGAAGUUUGACAUUGCCAAAACUGUUUGGUGCUAUGCUUCAGUAGACAGUUACCUACAGGGCAUCUCCUGCUCAGGUUUUCCACCAGCAGUGAGUGAUUGAGCCGUGCUUCAACACACUCUGCAACCGGCAGAUAUAUCAUCCCUGCUGGAUUUCUUAAUUUGCCCAGAGAAGCAGUUCAGAAGUAUAUGGACACAUAAAGAAGAGAGGUAGAGGGCACCUGGCAAAUGCACAACAGCCAAAGGAAUGGAGGAUAAGCUUUUUUUUUUUUUUUUUUUAAACAGAAAUCCAGACCACUUGUGAAGGUCGUCUUAAAUAAAUAAUCAUAGGGUUUUUGCAGUGCUUGGUCUGCAGCACUGGCUAGGUUCUGCAUAAUGCAAUCAGAAAGUAAAGGGGCUGCCCGUUUUUUUAACCUGGGUUUUUGUUUUGUUUUUUUGUCAGCAGGUAUGUUUUUCCAGUAUUUAUUAUCUUGUGAAUUCAGAGUUAAACUCUGCAAAGAACAUCUUUGCAGAAUGAGAGCCACGCACUACCCAGGGUUUAAGUUUGCUUUGAAGUACCUUGUAUUUAGGAAGACUCAUCUCUUAAGGACUAGCGCAGAGGCCUCCAAACUUGGCAACUUUAAGCUAGGCUGGCUGGAGAAUUCUGGCCAUUGAAGUCCACAAGUCUUAAAGUUGCCAAGUUUGGAGACCUUUGAACUAGAGUCAUCAGUUACGAAUGUGAUGACAAAUAACGCCAGCUCUUUCAAUGUUCAGUUAUUUCUUUUACACGGGGAGGGUCCCAGCACCAUUGUACAGUUGCCCGGGUUCGUGCCUUCCAGAGGUGUUAGACUGCAAAAUCCAUCAUUCCCAGCCAAUAUGUGUAUUUGCUUUGGUCAGAUAUGCUGAGGGGGUUGUAGACCAGGAUAUCUUGUUCACCUCCUACAGUAAGGAGAUGUCAAAAGGGUAUGUGACAAUACCCUCCAAAAUUUUUAAAUCUCCAAAUUUUUCUACACACACAUUCACGCAACUAUGCUUUUGCAAAGCUUUAAUGGACUUUUUAAUUGUACUUGACAAAAAUCUGACAUUAAAGAACUCUUGCAAGUGCCCGACACAGGGACAAAGCUCAUUUGCACAGAUCUUAAUCCUCCCCUAAUGAAUUCUCGGUCAAUUAGUCCAAGGCAUAGGAAAUGCAUGCAUUUCUCUUUUCUUCAGGUGGAUAAAUCCAUUAUACUGUAGUUGUGAUACAACACGUGUGUUUCUUUAUUUUCUACUGCACAGACCAACUGUACAGCCACUCCGGAGUAUUGUAAUUUAGCAUGCAGUAUCUACUUUCCACAUUUACACUAUAUACUGCAUAUAUUCUUUUCCCUGAAAGUUAAAAAGAAAGAGGAAGGGGGAAAAAAGACUUUGAUUCCUUGAGUUGAUUUAAGA